This is a non-coding RNA of Pocillopora verrucosa, 1605 nucleotides long. Lineage: Eukaryota; Metazoa; Cnidaria; Anthozoa; Scleractinia; Pocilloporidae. The record is from RefSeq and is a predicted model, not a curated record.
CCAGUCCUUCUCUGGAGGGUAAUCCAUAAUGGCGGACGACGUGAGAUUGUUUUUAUUAAUUCUCUAAGGAUAAACCAAAACGGUUGUUUGUUAUUUAAAAGAGCUUUUACAUUCAGUUUCUCAACUAAAGCUCUUUGCUUAUUGCUCCAUAAUGGCAGAGAAGAAUUCGAAAGGGAAGAAGCGAAAAUGGGAACCAGUAGAAUUUGACGAUCCUUUGUUCUUUGCGGGCGAAAUGGAUGGAUUUGUGUCCCUUGAAGUCAUGGAAGAUUAUCAUCCAGAAGAGCUAGCAGGAAUUGGUGCAGGUGGACCAGCUCAGAAGAAGAAAAUAAAAGAACGGCCGCUGCAGGAGGAUAAUCUGGAACAAACAGUUACCACACCAUCCACACAACUUGAAAAAGCAUGAAGAAUGACCAACAGACAAAGGGAAAAAAGAAGAAGAAAAGAAAAACAAGGCCCAAAGUAAAGCCCAGUCAGAAGAGCAAAACAGAGUAGAAAUGGUCACUGACAAUAGACUGGUGGAAGAUCCUCCAGAGCCCAUGGCAGAUAUGAGUGCUUGGGAAGUCCUUGGUGUUCCCAAAGAAGUUCAGAGAGGACUCAGUGAACAAAGUUUUACUACACUAACCCCUUUACAGACUCUCUCCCUUCUGCCUGCAAUAUUCCACCACAGGGACAUCAUUGGUGCAGCAGAAACAGGUUCAGGUAAAACACUAGCCUUUGGGAUUCCAAUUCUCACCCACAUCCUUGGCCACAAGUCCAGUCAAGAAGCAGGUGAAACUACAGAAAAUACUACCAAAAAUAAUGCUACAGAAGCCACAGAAACUGGUAAUGGAACAUCCAAGCUCAAGAAACCACUCCUGGCGUUGAUAAUGACACCAACCAGAGAAUUGGUUAUACAAAUAAAGAAUCAUCUUAAACAGGCUGCAAAACACACAUCUUUAGAGAUUGUUGCUGUGGUUGGAGGAAUGGCACCUCAAAAACAGCAGAGGCUUUUAAACAAGUGUCCUGAGAUAAUAGUAGCCACCCCGGGAAGACUGUGGGAUUUGAUUUCCGAGUGAUAAUGAUGAAGAUGAGGGAACUGCAAAGCGAAGACAUCUACAGAAGUUUCUAUUCUCUGCAACUUUAACUCCUCCAAAGUCGUUUAAGAGGAAAGGAAAGUAAAAGAAGAUCACAAGCGAAGAAGGCUUUGCUAUACUCUUUGCAUUUUACAUUUUUAAUGUCACCGAUGGACAAAGUUGGGCAGCAGAAGAACAGAUGUAAAAUUAUCGAUGUCACCAACAAGAGAGGAACCGUAGAACCGUCAUGUGUAAUUUAAGAGAAGGUUUGUAAUAGUUGAGCUGACAAGGAAGAGAAACACUUCAAGAUCCAGGAUACAAUUUUUAUUACUUUUUAUUGUUGGUUUGAGCCAAAUGCAUCGACACGUACACCGCACUGUCUAGGAACAUGAUCCAUGGAGGUGUACCAAGUGAAAUCGAAGGAGAACUACAAAACAUACAGAGAGUAUAGUUUACGAACUAACCGACCAAUGGAAUUUCCUUUAUUUAUAGACUAUAACUGGAUCGCCUUGACUGAUUAAAACCCGCCCCUCUCCUCCCUCGGAGAAUAUUU